RNAcentral lists this ribosomal RNA (253 nucleotides) under uncultured prokaryote. RNAcentral's name for it is "partial 16S ribosomal RNA". It matches the Rfam family "Bacterial small subunit ribosomal RNA", at positions 524 to 776 of the family's 1533-position model. The record is from RNAcentral.
UACGAAGGGGGCUAGCGUUGUUCGGAAUUACUGGGCGUAAAGCGCGCGCAGGCGGUCUUCCAAGUCAGUGGUGAAAGCCCGGAGCUCAACUCCGGAACUGCCAUUGAAACUGUGAGACUUGAGGAUGAGAGAGGUGAGUGGAAUUCCCAGUGUAGAGGUGAAAUUCGUAGAUAUUGGGAGGAACACCAGAUGCGAAGGCGGGUCACUGGGCUGAUACUGACGCUAAAGCGCGAAAGCCAGGGGAGCGAACGGG